ACAUAGGAUUGAUUUAAUUAGCACAAUCAUGCUUAAGAUGGUACAUGUACAGAGAAAAUACAGCUAUCUGGACGGAUUUUUGUGUUAUGUACAUGUAUAAAGUGAACCAUUAUACAUGUAUUUGGCAUCAUGAGAAAUAAAUAACAUUUCAUUGAACUAAAAACCAUCAAAUUGUAAAGACUGUGCAAGUACAUAGACACCAUCUUGAAUGCAACAUUUUAAACGAAAACAUCUAAAUAAAAACAACUCAAUUAAAAAUAAUUAACAGAGCGUAGCAUAGGAUGAAUGUAAAACCACAGUAACAAAAUAUCAAUAUUUUACCUCGAAUAUUUAAUGUAAUAUUUAAAAGAGUGUUUCAUUAGAUGAAUGUAAAACCACAGUAACAAAGUAUCAAUAUUUUAACUCAAAUAUUAAAUACAUUAUUUAACCAUACAUGGGUUCACUCUGUGGUUAAAGUUCAAAUUUAAAGCAUUUUUACAACAAUAUCGCAUAAACAAAACAAAACAUAAAAACAAGCACCAGAGUCUGUGACAAAUACUAGCAUGGUAACAUCUGUUACCUCAGAGGUGGACUUUGUAGAUACUCCACAAUUCAGCAAAUAUAUACAAACCCAAUGUAAACAAAUAAGAGAGUAGAUGUAGAAAUAAAACUGUAUAACCUUCAAAAUAUUAACUGCCACAAGGAUAUUCUUUUAUGUCUAUAAAAUAUAUUCUGUACCCUGAAACACCAAAGCUUGAUUGUCAUGGAAGAAAAAAAGAUACCUGUAUUUACUGAAAAUCACCUUUUUGUCCACUUUAUUUUAUGAUCCAAUCCAUUUCAUUAUUGUUUAUAGUUACUUAUGGAAUACAAGUUAGGAAUGAGUCUCCUCAUUAAAUAUAUGUAAAGUAAAAAUUAACAUCUCAUGAAAAUAACAUGAUUAAUAUUAUUUACGUGUAAAAUGUGUAAGUAUUUCUUAGGUAUUCUUGGAAGAUGAAAUUUCAUUGAUUGAUGAAAAUCUGCAUGUCAACCAUGCUUAUUCAGGAAUUCAACUUAAAAACAAAGU
Long non-coding RNA from Mizuhopecten yessoensis (Yesso scallop), 1042 nucleotides. RefSeq lists it as uncharacterized. The transcript is spliced from 3 exons. The record is from RefSeq and is a predicted model, not a curated record. Lineage: Eukaryota; Metazoa; Mollusca; Bivalvia; Pectinida; Pectinidae.